UACACGCAUGACACACUGCAUAUCAAUAAGCGGAGGAAAAGAAACUAACAAGGAUUCCCUUAGUAACGGCGAGUGAAGCGGGAAGAGCUCAAAUUUGAAAUCUUCGAGGUUUUACCUUGACGAAUUGUAGUUUAAAGAAGUGUUUUCUGUUGAAGUUUUGGUAAAAGUUCUUUGGAAUAGGACAUCAUAGAGGGUGAGAAUCCCGUAUUUGACCAUUAUUUUCAGCUGUGUGAUACACUUUCAAAGAGUCGGAUUGUUUGGGAAUGCAGUCCAAAAUGGGUGGUAAAUUUCAUCUAAAGCUAAAUAUUGGCGAGAGACCGAUAGCGAACAAGUACCGUGAGGGAAAGAUGAAAAGAACUUUGAAAAGAGAGUUAAACAGUACGUGAAAUUGUCAAAAGGGAAGCGUUUGACACCAGUGUUGUUUUCUCGAAAAUCAAUUAAGAAUGGCGGAUUUUGUGUUGUAUUGACUUUAUCAGCUUUCUGCACUUUUUUCCUGUCUUUUUUAAUGCACUUUUCGUUUAACAAGUCAACAUCAAUUUCUUUUGUUGUAAAAGAGUCAUUGGAAGGUGGCUUUCUUUUCGGAGAAAGUGUUUAUAGCCUUUGGCUUCUGCAAUCGGAGAGAUUGAGGUCUGCAGCGUAGAUCCUUCGGGGUUAGAUACAUUUGUGCUAAGCUAUAGCCUUUCAUAGACAACUUGUUGACUAUGAUCAGUCAUGUAGCUUACUCGCUUAUGUCAUUUUACCUACGCUUAGGAUGUUGACUGAUAUGUAGUCGUA
Molecule: ribosomal RNA, 774 nt
Filed under: uncultured Neocallimastigales
Lineage: Eukaryota; Fungi; Neocallimastigomycota; Neocallimastigomycetes; Neocallimastigales
Description: partial large subunit ribosomal RNA
Rfam family: Eukaryotic large subunit ribosomal RNA
Source: RNAcentral